CCUUCUAGGUUGGCCGGGGCCUCCCGCAUCUCAGUGCGGUGGCAAGCUGGGCUUGCCCCUUCUCCUUCGUCUACCUCGAGUACGGCACAUACCGCCGGCGUUGCCGUUUUAGGAGGUCGCCGCCACUCACACGAUGUAUUUGGAUAUCGUCGCCACGCCACCUCUUGAUGAGGAUACGUCUUCCUCUGCCCGCGCGCUGCGUGUGCCGCGGCCGGGUCCCCGCCCCACAGAAUCUUGCUGUGCGCAGCGGUGGCAAGCGGGAUUAUGGCGCCGACGCGCGUCGUUGCAGCAUCCGGCGGCGCUUGGCGGAGGACUCCUCUCUGUCCUUGAAGACGGCAGAGGAGUAUUGCUACAGCAGCCAGCGCACGGCCUUGGAGUCGUACUUGUGCCUUAGGUCCACGCCCGGAUUCCAUCCCCGACGAGUUUUCUACGCCUCCUUCCCCUUUUAGAUCUUUCUUCUGUAUUUUGAUUUGCACUGAUUUUCUUUCGUUAAUUUGCUUUCUCUUCUUCUUGGAGAUGGAAUGCGUUUGUGCUGCUCCGCGUGUGGCCGGCGUGGUAGGCAGCCGGGACGUCCCGGCAGAGGCCGGAGUCCGUGCUGGUGCGCCGGGUUCUCUCUCUUGUAUGCAGGUGGGCGUCGCCACUAUUUCUAUGCGUUCCGCAUCUCCGUUUUUUGGUAGGCCUUCUUUCUCAUGUCUUCAUUGGUAGUAGCUGCUGGACAAGGGCAUGACACGGGUGAGCGUGCACGAGAAUGAGUACAACAUCUGAAAGAUGGGCGUGAUCACAGUUUACGUCUCAUUUUUUGAUAAAUCGGUGCCAUGAGGGUGAUUCUGAGCUAAUUUGCUGUUAUAGUGGUCAUAUUCUCUCGCUUAGUUUGGAAGCACAAACUUAACCAAACAGUAAGUUUUAAUUUUCAUUAUGUUUCUUCUCUCGCUUAGUACUGUAAACACCCGUAGCCUGAUGCCAUUGUAUAGUUAGAGAGCAUUGUGUUGUCCCACUAUUUUCCGCUUUGGCACUGUCUGAAUGUCAAAGACACUAGAUAUCCCACAAGGAGCACACUGAUGGACAAUUAGCAUAUUGUAAUGUGGAAUUGCAUAAUAUUUAAUACCUCAGAUUAAUUUAAUUUAGAUGUCUUAAACAUACCACCAUUGUAGGAUAAUGUUUAAGUGGACAGAAAUGGCAAUUGAACUGAAAGUCUAAGAACAUGCCUGUUUUGAUAGUUUCUCUGUAAACUGUCGAUUGGUGUGAGUUUAGUGGCAUUAUUUCCGCAUAUGUGUUAAGGCAACUAUCUAUCACCUACAAUGCACUGAAACAAUCUUCUGAUUUGUUUGUAUGCAGCUGAAGAAAAUGUGCAAGGUGCGUACAUAGCGUGGUAAUGAAGUAGAACUUUACCACGCUUUUUCUUAUUUGUCUCGAACAAAUGUAUUACCAUCAAUGCUUCGCCCAUUCUUCGUAUGUUUGCUAAAAGAUUCAAUUUAUUUUUACUAACCUCCAGGUGAUCUUUUCUGUAGUGAAUUGAACCUUAUGAAAAGAAAAACCUAUCUACAUGACUCCCAUUUCGUAGACUACUAUCUUCCCAAUUCAAAUGAACCACUGGCAUCUCAUAAAUGUUGAUGCUAUUUUUUUACUCCACAGACAUUAGAGAUCUUACCGAUCAAAACAAUAUUGCUCUCAUCAAUAUUAUGCUUGCAUGUUUUGAGUCAACCUUAAGAAUAAUCACUCACAUGAGUUUUUGGUACUGCUUAGCUGGUGGUAAUUACUAUCUCCCCUUUCCGGUGCUCCUGUAGAAAAACGUCUUUACUGGAGGACUUUUAAGCGGUGCAAACAUUGCUAGGGUACGUAUCUUUAUUUUCAUCACAUGCUGGCCUGCUGCGCCGCUUGCCGUGCGGGACGGACCGCUGUUGCUCGCCAUGUCGCCUUCUUCGAUUAUGGUUGGUGGGUGUGCUUCUAUUCAUCGUCGUGCUCCUCCUCCUUUUUCUGGUGAUCCGUCGCUGCCGCACCUCUGGUCAGGUCUUGGAAGAUUGGGUCGAGCUUUGCGGCCGGCGGCCUUCCUUAGUUGCCUGGCAAUGAGCUAGAAUAGGUCGCGGUCUUCGGUAAGCAGCCUACAUCGAGCAUCAACGACUUGCAGUUUUGGCAUUUUGUUGGUUCCUUAAUUCCCAGAUGAAGAUUCCCACCCCUUCAUCAAGAUUCAGUUUAUUUGUAUUUGUUUCGUCCAUUCGUACCAAGGUAGGCUACGUUUGGUGUUCCUGCUAUUCAGUGAAUUUCGUCUGUGGUCAGAGUGCGUGGUACGUUCCUCAACACAGGAUUUUGUUGUUUUUUCCGUCAUCGGAAAGUUUUUGAUUGUUUGCUGCUGCCGGUUGUUCUUUCUGUUGGGUUCCUGAGUUUUUUGCCUGCUGUGUUGGGUUCUGUUCUUGUGUUCGUGUGUUUUGCCCAAGGUGGAUGCUUGGAGGCAAGAUAUAUGGCUGGAAAAGUGACCAGUUGUUCUGCCUACGUAGGUCUUACUGUGAGUGGAGAUCCUCUUAGUUGCUCUGGGCUGGCUAUUGGUUGCUACCGGAGGUCACCUCCUCCGCAUCUGUGCUGGCGAUCUUCAAGAUGUUAUUGUUGUGCGGAUUGGGCGGUCCAGUGGUGCGCGUGGAAGGUGUGGUAGGGAGGGGUUGUGCUCGGCAUGCCGUUGCUCCUGUAGCAUCUAUGAUCGGUAGCCGUUUGUGGUCGCGGGAUUUUGCUGCUGGUAGUGUGAUUGGUUCUGCGGACUACUCAGAUGUUCCUUCUGUUGGUGGUAGAUUGCAUAUGUUCGCUAAGAGUGGAGAAGCUACAUCAUCCAGUGCGUAUCAGCCUACCAAUGGCUUCCCCGAAUUAAUGGUUUCCUCUACACAUAGCAACACUUUCAGUGGUACAAUCCUAUAUUCCUAUUACAGUUUGUAGUUUGAGGAUAUAAACUGAGCAAGUAAUCCUUUAGUUCAGCCUUGCUUCAGUGAAUAAGUUUCAUAUUACAGUUAUGAAUCCUUGCGUUCCAGCUGGUCAGAGCAUAUAAAGGUAUGAAGGUGUAGAUCGACAUUACUAUGUAAACUCAGUUCCUCCAUUAGCAGAAUUAAUUACUUUCUUAAGAGAUAAUAGGCAAUAUUAUUUACGAUUUCUCAACCUGAUGAGCUACUUUAAGGUGUUUCAUACAAAAUGAUACAUACCCUGUCAAAUCUUCCGAGAAAUUCUAACUUAGCUAUAAUUUAGUUCGACCUUCAUAUUUUAUCUAUGAUAUAUUUAUUUUCAAAAAUGUGGUCUAAUGAUUAAUUCCCCUAAUCAUCUCUAUGAUUUGCACUUUAAGAAGCCAGAGGAAAGUCAGGAACCGUUCAAGGCCUGUUGAUAUUCAGCAGUUCAGUGCAUGGCCUGUUUGAAUCAAAGGAUUGAACAGAGAGUGGAUGAUUGAAAUACUUAGAAUAUUCUGAUGGGAGUUGUUUGAUUUAUCACUUAUUUUCCCACAGGAUUUAUCACACAUUUUAUUAAAUGAAUUCCAUUUACUCAUAACCUAUUUGAAAUAAUAUAUUUUGCUUUAGUAGUGAUGUCAUAGGUUUGUAUGUACUAUUUGAAGCAACAAUUCUCAUUGGCCUAUACAUAAUAAGAACUAAUGAUUUUAAAUCGAAUACAGGAACAAGGCCAUCCUCCCAACACAAAUUUCAGGUUUGUGCAAAUGGUAGCUGGAGAGGUUCAGUUCUGAAACUACCUAUAGAUGCUACUAUGUUACACGUACUGCUGCACUUCAAGCCACGGCAGCUCAGAUCACAGUACGCCUAUGUUAUGUGCACUUUUCACUAGAAAAUACUUCCACGUAUACUAUAACCACUGAUUUCUUCUCUACUUCGUGUUGCACUGAAUGAAUAUUAUAUUGAAGACAACUCUUCGUCUCUUCUGUCUUUAUAUCAUCUCUACUGUUGUAAUCAGUUUGUUCAGUAAUAAGACAGUAUUUAUGCAGUUGAUUCUUACUCUGCCUUUCUAAUUUAUGUUUAUAGCAUGCACAGAACAGAAUUCAAUUACAAUUCAGUGUCAAACUCAGUGAACUUCUCAGCAGAGUUAAAAUUCUCAUUCACUACGCGAACUUGUAGUAAAUACUGGGAAAAAUGAGCUACAUACAACAUACCAGGCACCGAGACAUCUACUUCACCAGCAUGAAUGGUUGCUCCCGUCCCCCCCCCCCUCAAUCCGCCCUCCAUGGCUCUGUAUCCACCACCGCCUACCACUGCUAACUAAUUGCUCUGUAUCCAGGAUCUCAUCGUAGGUCGAUGAUGCCCAUGUGUGGGAUAUCGGCCGGCCGCGAGACUCCAUCCCUGCAGGAGUCAAGGAACGAGAACUCUUCCUUCUUUUCAUGGCUUACCUUUUUUCAUUCAUUUUUCUGGGUCUGGUUGAAGGAGUCAUCUCCUCUCACUAGCAUUUUUUGUCUUCUCUGGUUGGUUUGGUUGCUGGUGGUGAAGCCACUCACAGUUCCAAAAA
Lolium perenne is the source of this 4476-nucleotide non-coding RNA. Lineage: Eukaryota; Viridiplantae; Streptophyta; Magnoliopsida; Poales; Poaceae. The record is from RefSeq and is a predicted model, not a curated record.